RNAcentral lists this ribosomal RNA (260 nucleotides) under uncultured archaeon. RNAcentral's name for it is "partial 16S ribosomal RNA". It matches the Rfam family "Archaeal small subunit ribosomal RNA", at positions 748 to 1009 of the family's 1478-position model. The record is from RNAcentral.
UAGCCGUAAACGAUACUCGCUAGGUGUCGGCCACGGUGCGACCGUUGUCGGUGCCGUAGGGAAGCCGUGAAGCGAGCCACCUGGGAAGUACGGCCGCAAGGCUGAAACUUAAAGGAUUGGCGGGGGAGCACAACAACGGGUGGAGCUUGCGGUUUAAUUGGAUUCAACGCCGGAAAUCUUACCGGGACCGACAGCAACAUGAAGGCCAAGCUGAAGACUUUGCCGGAUUAGCUGAGAGGAGAUGCAUGGCGUAGUCGUGU